This 253-nucleotide ribosomal RNA is filed under the name uncultured bacterium. Its description in RNAcentral is "partial 16S ribosomal RNA". It matches the Rfam family "Bacterial small subunit ribosomal RNA", at positions 524 to 776 of the family's 1533-position model. The record is from RNAcentral.
UACAGGGGGUGCAAACGUUGCUCGGAAUUAUUGGGCGUAAAGGGCGCGUAGGCGGCCUUCUAAGUCGAACGUGAAAUCCCCGGGCUCAACCCGGGAACUGCGUCCGAUACUGGAAGGCUUGAAUCCGGGAGAGGGAUGUGGAAUUCCAGGUGUAGCGGUGAAAUGCGUAGAUAUCUGGAGGAACACCGGUGGCGAAGGCGACAUCCUGGACCGGUAUUGACGCUGAGGCGCGAAAGCCAGGGGAGCAAACGGG